CCUACGGGAGGCAGCAGUGAGGAAUAUUGGUCAAUGGACGAGAGUCUGAACCAGCCAAGUAGCGUGAAGGAUGAAUGCCCUAAGGGUUGUAAACCUCUUUUAUAUGGGAAUAAAAUGUUCCACGUGUGGGCUUUUGUAUGUACCAGAUGAAUAAGGAUCGGCUAACUCCGUGCCAGCAGCCGCGGUAAUACGGAGGAUCCGAGCGUUAUCCGGAUUUAUUGGGUUUAAAGGGAGCGUAGGUGGUUUGUUAAGUCAGGUGUGAAAGUUUGCGGGUCACACGUAAGAUUGCAGUUGAAACUGGCAGUCUUGAGUUCGGUAGAGGUAGGCGGAAUGCGUGGUGUAGCGGUGAAAUGCUUAGAUAUCACGAAGAACUCCGAUUGCGAAGGCAGCUCACUGGA
This 398-nucleotide ribosomal RNA is filed under the name uncultured bacterium. Its description in RNAcentral is "partial 16S ribosomal RNA". It matches the Rfam family "Bacterial small subunit ribosomal RNA", at positions 338 to 733 of the family's 1533-position model. The record is from RNAcentral.